Molecule: long non-coding RNA, 218 nt
Organism: Daphnia pulex (common water flea)
Lineage: Eukaryota; Metazoa; Arthropoda; Branchiopoda; Diplostraca; Daphniidae
Exons: 3
Source: RefSeq, a predicted model, not a curated record
UCCAGAAAGACGCCUACAUGUCUGCGAGAAACAUUUCGAGUUAGAAAAUGAUUUGAAAGAUUACGACAAAUUUCAAAAUGGUAUUGGCUACAUGAAACUCAAACCUGAUGUAGUACUCAUCGCAAUAUCCCAGAAGCUAUUACUACAGAAGACAAAUAUCAAACUGGGUCGACCAAUAUGAAUUACAAUCCAUGUCUGGUGAAUCAGACCAAGGAGGU